CGGGCCGAGCGGAGGAAGGGGAGGGCCGUGCGCCCGGCGGCCGGGAGGCGGCCCCGCCCGUGGCCCCGCCCCGCUCCCGUUACUCUCGGGAAGGUUUCCGAGGCCGCUCCCAUCCUCACCCCACCUCCCGGCCCGGCACUGGCCUCGCCGCCGGAGCCCCACUAUGCCAGACGGUUUCGACACUUCGCAAAGACAAAGAGCCCCCGAGCAGAGCGAGGAGAGAGAGCAGGAAGGCGAGGACACAGAGGCGCCGGGGGCGAUGUGAGCCGCGGGAUUCCACUUCCUUGGCUGGAAACGCCAGUGGCAGGCAGCCGGUAACUCUGAGGACUGUGCCGAGCAAAGGGACGAGUCUGCCUGGGGACCGGGGAUGGACAGCCCCUUGGCCUUCUGAGGAACAUCCUUCUAUGACAAGUGCCAGCCAGCUGAAGAAGGGCAGGCACAAUGCUUCACUGUGCUCCGGAGCAAGCGGUAAACCACAGUCCAUGGGACACACCUGGCCUGGGCUGGUUUUGCAAAUAAAUCACAUGACCUCUAGCCAAGCCCCCCAGACCAGAAGAAAUGUGCUGUCAACCAAUGUCAGUCAUGGCCAUGUGCUGUGUUUGGGCACUGAGGUCCAGGCUAUUUGUUUUGUGGGGAAAACCGACACAACCACAUUUGUGGAGCCAUCUGGCAGGUGUCUUCACCUCUUGGUAGCAGGGGAGUCAUUGUGACAGAGACCCUGUGGCUGCAGAG
This 732-nucleotide long non-coding RNA is filed under the name Heterocephalus glaber (naked mole-rat). Its description in RNAcentral is "lncRNA (ENSHGLG00000035306.1)". The record is from RNAcentral. Lineage: Eukaryota; Metazoa; Chordata; Mammalia; Rodentia; Bathyergidae.